AGCGAACGCUGGCGGCAGGCCUAACACAUGCAAGUCGAACGGAAAUACGAUUUCGGUUGUAUUUUAGUGGCGAACGGGUGAGUAACGCGUGAGCAACCUGACCUUCAGAGGGGGAUAACAUUUGGAAACAGAUGCUAAUACCGCAUAAGACCACGACCCGAAAUCGGGAUGCGGUCAAAGGAGCAAUCCGCUGAGGGAGGGACUCGCGUCCCAUUAGAUAGAUGGCGGGGUAACGGCCCACCAUGUCGACGAUGGGUAGCCGAGCUGAGAGGCUGAUCGGCCACACUGGAACUGAGACACGGUCCAGACUCCUACGGGAGGCAGCAGUGGGGAAUAUUGGGCAAUGGGCGCAAGCCUGACCCAGCAACGCCGCGUGAGGGAAGAAGGCUUUCGGGUUGUAAACCUCUAUCCUUGGUGACGAAACAAAUGACGGUAGCCAAGAAGGAAGCCCCGGCUAACUACGUGCCAGCCGCCGCAGUAA
This 481-nucleotide ribosomal RNA is filed under the name uncultured bacterium. RNAcentral's name for it is "partial 16S ribosomal RNA". It matches the Rfam family "Bacterial small subunit ribosomal RNA", at positions 29 to 523 of the family's 1533-position model. The record is from RNAcentral.